ACGAGAGCCUCUACUUCAAUCCCAUGAUGACCAAUGGGGUUGUGCACGCCAAUGUGUUCGGCAUCAAGGACUGGGUGACGCCGUACAAGAUCGCGGUGCUGGUGCUGCUGAACGAGAUGAGCCGCACAGGCGAGGGCGCCGUCAGCCUCAUGGAGCGGCGGAGGCUCAACCAGCUGCUCCUGCCCCUGCUGCAGGGCCCAGAUAUUACACUGUCAAAACUUUACAAGUUAAUUGAAGAGUCUUGUCCACAGCUGGCAAAUUCAGUGCAGAUCAGGUAAACUUCAUUUUCUUCUUUAUAUAUGAAAAGGUGUGAAGGUAGAUGAAAAUCACAAAAGGGUAUGUGGUAGUUAAUUCUUUUAAAAAGAUACCUUUAUUACCCUAGGUUGUUUUCCCAAGAGCCUUUACUUAAUUCUGUUUUGUUGAAAAAUGGAUAGCUUUUUCUUUGGAGACAGGGUCUCAUUCUGUUGCCCAGGCUGGAGUACAAUGGUGCAAUCAGGGCUCAACGCAGCCUGGACUUCCUGAGCUCAGGUGAUCUUCCCACCUCAGACUCCCAAGUAGCUGGGACUACAAGCAUACACCACCAAACCUGGCUAAUUUUUUGUAUUUUUAGUAGAGAUGGGAUUUUGCUUUGUUGCCUAGGCUGGUCUUGAACUCCUGGGCUCAAGCAAUCCCUCCGCUUCCACCUCGCAAAGUGCUGGGAUUACAAGUGUGAGCAACCGCACCUGGCUGAAAAAUGGGUAACAUUAAGCAUACUGUUUUAUAGCUUUUUUCCCCAAAUUUUAUUAUUCCUUAUGGAUCCAUCUUACUCUUUUUAGUCAUUGCAGAUAAUUGAAUGUUUAUUGGUUGAUGUGAUAGUUUGACAAAUUUUAUGAUCAAGAAAACAACAAUGAUACUUUUCAGAAAUACGGGAGUAACAUUUUGAAUUAUGAAGUUUGUUUUAUGAGCCACCAUUUUAUACAAAUCUCUGAAUUGCCUGUAAAAUACAUUAUUUGAGGUAAUUGAGGAAUAUGAAACAUGAGAAAUUAUUCAAAGGGCCUUUCUAAAAUAUGCACCUCGAUUUUCUCAUUCAGAAUCAAACUGAUGGCUGAAGGCGAGUUGAAGGAUAUGGAACAGUUUUUUGAUGACCUUUCAGAUUCUUUCUCUGGAACUGAACCAGAGGUUCACAAAACAAGUGUAGUAGGUAUGAAACUCUUCUAAGAAGAGCAGAGAGUAUUUUCAUUGAAGUGAGCAGCUUUCUAAGUCAUGUCUAUCAUUGUUCUGCUAUAUCUGUGAACAGACACA
Molecule: long non-coding RNA, 1281 nt
Filed under: Homo sapiens (human)
Lineage: Eukaryota; Metazoa; Chordata; Mammalia; Primates; Hominidae
Description: non-protein coding lnc-CAMKK2-5:1
Source: RNAcentral